Molecule: ribosomal RNA, 497 nt
Filed under: uncultured bacterium
Lineage: Bacteria
Description: partial 16S ribosomal RNA
Rfam family: Bacterial small subunit ribosomal RNA
Source: RNAcentral
GAUGAACGCUGGCGGCGUGCCUAAUACAUGCAAGUCGAGCGAACAGACGAGGAGCUUGCUCCUCUGACGUUAGCGGCGGACGGGUGAGUAACACGUGGAUAACCUACCUAUAAGACUGGGAUAACUUCGGGAAACCGGAGCUAAUACCGGAUAAUAUAUUGAACCGCAUGGUUCAAUAGUGAAAGACGGUUUUGCUGUCACUUAUAGAUGGAUCCGCGCCGCAUUAGCUAGUUGGUAAGGUAACGGCUUACCAAGGCGACGAUGCGUAGCCGACCUGAGAGGGUGAUCGGCCACACUGGAACUGAGACACGGUCCAGACUCCUACGGGAGGCAGUAGUAGGGAAUCUUCCGCAAAGGGCGAAAGCCUGACGGAGCAACGCCGCGUGAGUGAUGAAGGUCUUCGGAUCGUAAAACUCUGUUAUUAGGGAAGAACAAAUGUGUAAGUAACUAUGCACGUCUUGACGGUACCUAAUCAGAAAGCCACGGCUAACUACGUG